This 545-nucleotide small RNA is filed under the name Pan troglodytes (chimpanzee). RNAcentral's name for it is "retained intron". Lineage: Eukaryota; Metazoa; Chordata; Mammalia; Primates; Hominidae. The record is from RNAcentral.
AGACGGUGCAGGGCCGGAGAAGCACCUUCACUCCCAGCCUGCGCCCCGAUGCUGCGCGUUCUGUGCCUCCUGCGCCCCUGGAGGCCCCUUCGGGCCCGCGGCUGCGCUUCCGACGGGGCGGCCGGGGGCUCAGAGAUCCAAGUGCGCGCCCUGGCGGGUCCGGACCAAGGCUGUAGGUUCCAUGAGGACAGGCCUUGAGUCUGUCCUGGUCUCUGGAAUCAUGGUGUCUAGUAGAGGCCAGCACACAGCAAAUAUAUAAAUGUACAAAUGAGUGAAUGAAGAGAAUCUGAUUGGCCUUAAGGAACUUACGCACUUAAAAUAAUUGGGCAGAAGAGAAGCAGUGAAGGAGUGCAGAGGCAUCACCUGAAAGGUAGGAGGAAGGAGAAUGGGGGCCUGCCAAAGCCAAGGCAGAUACGUGUCAUUAUGCAUCUGUGUAAACCCACAGAGUGUACACCACCAAGAGCGAACCCCAGUGUACACUAGGGCCCCCGGGUGGCGACAGUGCAUCAGUGUAGGUUCGUCAGUUGCAACACGUGCCUCUGGUG